CAGUCGAGGGGCAGCAUGGUCUUAGCUUGCUAAGGCCGUUGGCGACCCGUGCACGGGUGAGUAACGCGUAUCCAACCUGCCUUACACUCUUGGACAGCCUUCUGAAAGGGAGAUUAAUACAAGAUGUUAUCAUGAGUAAGCAUUUUCGCAUGAUUAAAGGUUUACCGGUGUAAGAUGGGGAUGCGUUCCAUUAGAUAGUAGGCGGGGUAACGGCCCACCUAGUCUUCGAUGGAUAGGGGUUCUGAGAGGAAGGUCCCCCACAUUGGAACUGAGACACGGUCCAAACUCCUACGGGAGGCAGCAGUGAGGAAUAUUGGUCAAUGGACGAGAGUCUGAACCAGCCAAGUAGCGUGAAGGAUGAAGGUUCUAUGGAUUGUAAACUUCUUUUAUACGGGAAUAAACGAAUCCACGUGUGGAUUUUUGCAUGUACCGUAUGAAUAAGGAUCGGCUAACUCCGUGCCAGCAGCCGCGGUAAUACGGAGGAUCCGAGCGUUAUCCGGAUUUAUUGGGUUUAAAGGGAGCGUAGAUGGGUUGUUAAGUCAGUUGUGAAAGUUUGCGGCUCAACCGUAAAAUUGCAAUUGAUACUGGCAGUCUUGAGUACAGUUGAGGUAGGCGGAAUUCGUGGUGUAGCGGUGAAAUGCUUAGAUAUCACGAAGAACUCCGAUUGCGAAGGCAGCUCACUAACCUGUAACUGACAUUGAUGCUCGAAAGUGUGGGUAUCAAACAGGAUUAGAUACCCUGGUAGUCCACACGGUAAACGAUGAAUACUCGCUGUAGGCGAUAUACAGUCUGCGGCCGAGCGAAAGCAUUAAGUAUUCCACCUGGGGAGUACGCCGGCAACGGUGAAACUCAAAGGAAUUGACGGGGGCCCGCACAAGC
This 879-nucleotide ribosomal RNA is filed under the name uncultured bacterium. RNAcentral describes it as "bacterial SSU rRNA". It matches the Rfam family "Bacterial small subunit ribosomal RNA", at positions 59 to 930 of the family's 1533-position model. The record is from RNAcentral.